RNAcentral lists this ribosomal RNA (495 nucleotides) under Blastobotrys sp. MUCL 7707. RNAcentral describes it as "eukaryotic LSU rRNA". The stretch from base 161 to 314 matches the Rfam family "5.8S ribosomal RNA". The record is from RNAcentral. Lineage: Eukaryota; Fungi; Ascomycota; Dipodascomycetes; Dipodascales; Trichomonascaceae.
UUCCGUAGGUGAACCUGCGGAAGGAUCAUUAACGAAAUUGAUUUAUUCAUUUUUCUGUGAACUUUUUAUAAAAUUUUUGCUUUGGCGUCUUUAGUACGCCAAAAGAUUAAACUCAUUAACAUUUUUUUUUGUCAAACUAAAACAAAUUAAUUAAAUUUAAAACUUUCAACAACGGAUCUCUUGGUUCUCGCAUCGAUGAAGAACGCAGCGAAAUGCGAUACGUAAUGUGAAUUGCAGAAUUUUGUGAAUCAUCGAAUCUUUGAACGCACAUUGCGCCUUUUGGUACUCCAGGAGGCAUGCCUGUUUGAGCGUCAUUUCUACUUCACUUUUGUGGUUUUGUUGUAUCUCUUUUCGUAAGAGUACAAUGAAAGGAAAUGGCAGUACUUUUGGAAUUUUGCUCAAGUGUUUUAGGUUCUACCAACUACACUGAUAUAGCUAUUCCAAAAAGUUGGCUUGAAAAACUUCUUUCAAUGUUGACCUCAAAUCAGGUAAGAU